This is a long non-coding RNA of Cydia pomonella (codling moth), 598 nucleotides long. RefSeq lists it as uncharacterized. The transcript has 2 exons. Lineage: Eukaryota; Metazoa; Arthropoda; Insecta; Lepidoptera; Tortricidae. The record is from RefSeq and is a predicted model, not a curated record.
UGCAUUACGUAUUAUGGUUUACCCCCUUAGUAGUACAUAGAAUGACUGCCCCAAAUAAACUAAUGUAGUAUCCAUUACCCUAAAUUCUACUGUAGUUUAAAUGAUGAUAAAAUGCUUUAUGAUAUGCGCAACCCUGAUUACCACGCAUUUAAAACUUCCUUGGAUGGCUGACCUCUCAACAAUAUUUAAAUAGUGAAGUGCAAAAGCAAACUAAUCUCUACAGUGUAUUAUUUCGUUGUCUUACAGGAUGAAAUCAGAAUCGAAUCAACUUUGCCCCCACAUUCCAAUCUCCACAGGUAAAACUUCUGGGCUGGAGGAAGAAGAACCAGGGUUAUUGAAAAUGAUUUGGGAAGGUUGCACCACGCACAAUUAACGACCUGAUAACUAUGAUGGUUGCAGCUGUCUCCAAUAGUAAACUAUAAAAUUUUUGAUUGCUUGGUGCAACCGGCCCAAAAAUUAGGAGUUAUAAUUAUACAAUACAAAUACUCUUUAUUGCACACCUCAAUACAGAAACAGUACAAAUAAUACAACACAUAAAGAAGAGGUAAACAACAGGCGGUCUUAUCGCUUUUAUUAUCAUAAUAAAUUAUGAAUAGAU